Molecule: long non-coding RNA, 260 nt
Filed under: Elaeis guineensis (African oil palm)
Lineage: Eukaryota; Viridiplantae; Streptophyta; Magnoliopsida; Arecales; Arecaceae
Description: long non-coding RNA (EGUI_LNC042330)
Source: RNAcentral
GGUGAUGCUGGUAUCUUAUACAGGUUAGAUGUAGGGGUACAUCGUCACUGAAUAAGUGACUCACGUGCUGAGCGUUCUACUGUCAAGAGCUACUCGCGAAAUACAUAGGUAUAAGUAUCCUUCAGAUCUGAGAUCACUAUAGUGACUUGCACGUAACUCACUGUGCUUUGAUAUCGGACUAUCUAGAUUUCUAAUGCAGUGAUGGAAAGCUCUGAGUACAAUCAAGUACUUGCGAAGUUUGUGUGUGAAUCAAGAUGGGA